UACGUAGGGGGCAAGCGUUGUCCGGAAUCAUUGGGCGUAAAGCGCGUGUAGGCGGCUCGAUAAGUCUGCUGUGAAAGUCCAGGGCUCAACCCUGGGAUGCCGGUGGAUACUGUCGAGCUCGAGUCCGGAAGAGGCGAGUGGAAUUCCUGGUGUAGCGGUGAAAUGCGCAGAUAUCAGGAGGAACACCGAUGGCGAAGGCAGCUCGCUGGGACGGUACUGACGCUGAGGCGCGAAAGCGUGGGGAGCAAACAGG
RNAcentral lists this ribosomal RNA (253 nucleotides) under uncultured bacterium. Its description in RNAcentral is "partial 16S ribosomal RNA". It matches the Rfam family "Bacterial small subunit ribosomal RNA", at positions 524 to 776 of the family's 1533-position model. The record is from RNAcentral.